AUUGAACGCUGGCGGCAUGCCUUACACAUGCAAGUCGAACGGCAGCACGGGUGCUUGCACCUGGUGGCGAGUGGCGAACGGGUGAGUAAUACAUCGGAACAUGUCCUGUAGUGGGGGUUAGCCCGCCGAAAGCCGGAUUAAUACCGCAUACGAUCCACGGAUGAAAGCGGGGGACUUUCGGGCCUCGCGCUUUAGGGUUGGCCGAUGGCUGAUUAGCUAGUUGGUGGGGUAAAGGCCUACCAAGGCGACGAUCAGUAGCUGGUCUGAGAGGACGACCAGCCACACUGGGACUGAGACACGGCCCAGACUCCUACGGGAGGCAGCAGUGGGGAAUUUUGGACAAUGGGCGAAAGCCUGAUCCAGCAAUGCCGCGUGUGUGAAGAAGGCCUUCGGGUUGUAAAGCACUUUUGUCCGGAAAGAAAUCCUUGACUCUAAUACAGUCGGGGGAUGACGGUACCGGAAGAAUAAGCACCGGCUAACUACGUG
Molecule: ribosomal RNA, 486 nt
Filed under: uncultured bacterium
Lineage: Bacteria
Description: partial 16S ribosomal RNA
Rfam family: Bacterial small subunit ribosomal RNA
Source: RNAcentral